AUAUUUACCUGGCAGGGGAGAUACCAUGAUCAUGAAGGUGGUUUCCCCAGGGCGAGGCUUAUCCAUUGCACUCCGGAUGUGCUGACCCCUGCGAUUUCCCCAAAUGUGGGAAACUCGACUGCAUAAUUUGUGGUAGUGGGGGACUGCAUUCGCGCUUUCCCCUG
RNAcentral lists this small nuclear RNA (164 nucleotides) under Macaca mulatta (Rhesus monkey). RNAcentral's name for it is "U1 spliceosomal RNA (ENSMMUG00000025173.3)". It matches the Rfam family "U1 spliceosomal RNA". From Rfam's summary of the family: U1 is a small nuclear RNA (snRNA) component of the spliceosome (involved in pre-mRNA splicing). Its 5' end forms complementary base pairs with the 5' splice junction, thus defining the 5' donor site of an intron. There are significant differences in sequence and secondary structure between metazoan and yeast U1 snRNAs, the latter being much longer (568 nucleotides as compared to 164 nucleotides in human). Lineage: Eukaryota; Metazoa; Chordata; Mammalia; Primates; Cercopithecidae. The record is from Rfam by way of RNAcentral.